Molecule: small RNA, 865 nt
Filed under: Pongo abelii (Sumatran orangutan)
Lineage: Eukaryota; Metazoa; Chordata; Mammalia; Primates; Hominidae
Description: retained intron
Source: RNAcentral
UUUAGUGCUGUACCCAUAUUUUAGUGCCUAAAGUCUUCCCAGCAGAAUUGAGUUAUUCAAUGGGAAAAAAAUAUUUGCCUUAAAUCUGUUUCAUUAAACUAAUACUGAUUCCUGCCACCCCCCCUUAUAGGAUAUUUGGGAUAUACCAGUGGCCUUUCCUUGUUGUGUAUGGUGUUCUUUCUGAUUGUGGUCAUUUGCAAGAAAUUUCAGGUUCCGUGUCCUGUGGAAGCUGCUUUGAUAAUUAACGAAACAAUAAACACCACCUUAACACAGCCAACAGCUCUUGUACCUGAUUUGUCACAUAAUGUGACUGAAAAUGACGCUUGCAGACCUCACUAUUUUAUUUUCAACUCACAGACUGUCUAUGCUGUGCCAAUUCUGAUCUUUUCAUUUGUCUGCCAUCCUGCUGUUCUUCCCAUCUAUGAAGAACUGAAAGACCGCAGCCGUAGAAGAAUGAUGAAUGUGUCCAAGAUUUCAUUUUUUGCUAUGUUUCUCAUGUAUCUGCUUGCCGCCCUCUUUGGAUACCUAACAUUUUACGAACAUGUUGAGUCAGAAUUGCUUCAUACCUACUCUUCUAUCUUGGGAACUGAUAUUCUUCUUCUCAUUGUCCGUCUGGCUGUGUUAAUGGCUGUGACCCUGACAGUACCAGUAGUUAUUUUCCCAAUCCGGAGUUCUGUAACUCACUUGUUGUGUGCAUCAAAAGAUUUCAGUUGGUGGCGUCAUAGUCUCAUUACAGUGUCUAUCUUGGCAUUUACCAAUUUACUUGUCAUCUUCGUCCCAACUAUUAGGGAUAUCUUUGGUUUUAUUGGUGCAUCUGCAGCUUCUAUGUUGAUUUUUAUUCUUCCUUCUGCCUUCUAUAUCAAGU